RNAcentral lists this unclassified non-coding RNA (405 nucleotides) under soil metagenome. RNAcentral's name for it is "partial contains 5.8S ribosomal RNA, internal transcribed spacer 2, and large subunit ribosomal RNA". The stretch from base 1 to 121 matches the Rfam family "5.8S ribosomal RNA", at positions 35 to 154 of the family's 154-position model. The record is from RNAcentral.
GAUGAAGAACGCAGCGAAAUGCGAUAAGUAAUGUGAAUUGCAGAAUUCAGUGAAUCAUCGAAUCUUUGAACGCACCUUGCGCCCUUUGGACAUUCCGAAGGGCAUGCCUGUUUGAGUAUCAUGAACACCUCAACUCUCACGGCUUGUCCGUGAUGAGCUUGGACUUUGGGGGUCUUGCCGGCCUGUGGUCGGCUCCUCUCAAAUGGAUCAGCUUGCCAGUGUUUGGUGGCAUCACAGGUGUGAUAACUAUCUGCGCUUGUGGUUUUCCAUCAGAUAACCUUCAGAGAUAUGGAGGUUCGCUGGAGCUCACAAAUGUCUCUCCUUAGUGAGGACAGCUCUUUGAACGUUUGAUCUCAAAUCAGGUAGGACUACCCGCUGAACUUAAGCAUAUCAAUAAGCGGAGGA